CCCAGUUCGGAUUGCAGGCUGCAACCCGCCUGCAUGAAGUUGGAAUCACUAGUAAUCGCGGAUCAGCAUGCCGCGGUGAAUACGUUCCCGGGCCUUGUACACACCGCCCGUCACACCAUGAGAGUCGGGAACACCCGAAGUCCGUAGCCUGACCGCGAAGGGGGGCGCGGCCGAAGGUGGGUUCGAUAAUUGGGGUGAAGUCGUAACAAGGUAUC
This 215-nucleotide ribosomal RNA is filed under the name uncultured bacterium. Its description in RNAcentral is "partial 16S ribosomal RNA". It matches the Rfam family "Bacterial small subunit ribosomal RNA", at positions 1287 to 1500 of the family's 1533-position model. The record is from RNAcentral.